CUGUCCCUGUCUGCUGCUGAGAUGGUUAGUUGGAUACACAGGUCACACCUCAUGUCUAGCAAACCCUGGUCCAGCCACACCCUUGGCCACGUCUCAGAGCUGCCUGGAUAGAGCAUUUUUCAGAUCCCCAAGGGCUGGUGCCUUUUUGCUUAAUGGUCCCUGCCUCACUGAUUGUUUCCCUCUUGCAUUCUGCUAUAAGUAGCAAGGAGAAGCCAGGUGGCACCUUCCACACUGCUUGGAAAUCUCAGCUUGAUGUCCAGGCUCAUCAGCUGCAGGUCCCACUUCGCGCCCAACAGCAGAGCAGCAGCCAGCCAAGCUCUGUGCUGCCUCCUCCGGUUCCCAGUAGCACGGUCAUUUCCAUCUGAGACCUCACUGGAAGCACCUGUUGGGUCGGCAUUGCUGCCGACAUCCAGUCUGUGAUGCUGUGUGCAUUCUCCAAGACGGCGGCAGCUCUCCUCUUCCAGCCAUUUCCAGGCUUGUCUUCAUGCCUUUCUACCAACAGUCGUGCAGGCCUCACCAGUUCUUCCAGCCUCUCCCCAUCACCCACUUCCAAAGCUGCUGCCACAGUUCUUGGUGUUAGGUUUCGGCAGCACCCUUCCUGGUACCAAAAUCUGUUCAUUUAUUGUGGCUGCUGUAACAAAGUGUCACAAACUGGGUGGCUUAAAAAACAGAAAUAGAUUGCCUUAGUUUUGGAGGCUGGAAGUCCAAGAUGAAAGUAUUGGCAGCCUCGUUCCGUCUGAAACCUCUUAGAGACCUCCGUUGCCCCCCAGCUUCUGGUGUUUGCCACAGCCCUUGGUGUUUCUUGGCUUGUGGCCGCGUUGCUCCAGGUGGUCUCUGUCUUCGUGUGGCCCCCUCCCCGUCUGCCUGUGUCUUCCUAUCUUUCCUUUUCUUAGAAGGACCCCAGUCAGUUGGAUUAGGAUACACCUCAGUUACAUCUGCAUCAACCCUGUUUGCAAAUACGGCCACAUUUCCAAGCACUGGGGGUCAGGAGGCCCCUGUAGCCUUUUCGGGACACACCUUAUGAUGCCGGCCCCAUUGCCCUUUCAUGGUGGCUGAGCAGGUGGGGACCCCACCCAGUCCUGUGCUCUCGCUGCUCACCUGCCUGCCAGGGUGGGGUGGGGCAGGUGGCUCUGGGAGCCCCUUUCUCACUGGGUACCAGGUGGCAGAGCCCAUGGGCCUGAGCCCCCUGCAGCCGAGCUGCCCGUGCUGACCCUAGCCCUCCUUAGGCCAUGCGGACCCUCAGUUGGAAGCACACCCUGGGCCUGGUGACCAUGGAUGUGGAGCUGGCCGACCGCACGCUGUCUGUGGCGGUCACCCCGGUACAGGCGGUGAUCUUGCUGUAUUUUCAGGACCAAGCCAGCUGGACCCUGGAGGAACUGAGCAAGGCGGUGAAGAUGCCCGUGGCGCUGCUGCGGCGGCGGAUGUCCGUGUGGCUGCAGCAGGGUGUGCUGCGUGAGGAGCCCCCCGGCACCUUCUCUGUCAUUGAGGAGGAGCGGCCUCAGGACCGGGACAACAUGGUGCUCAUCGACAGUGACGACGAGAGCGACUCCGGCAUGGCCUCCCAGGCCGACCAGAAGGAGGAGGAGCUGCUGCUCUUCUGGACGUACAUCCAGGCCAUGCUGACCAACCUGGAGAGCCUCUCACUGGAUCGUAUCUACAACAUGCUCCGCAUGUUUGUGGUGACUGGGCCUGCACUGGCCGAGAUUGACCUGCAGGAGCUGCAGGGCUACCUGCAGAAGAAGGUGCGGGACCAGCAGCUCGUCUACUCGGCCGGUGUCUACCGCCUGCCCAAGAACUGCAGCUGACACACCCGCCCGCCCGCCCGCCAGGCGCUGCCCUGCAGGUGCUCUCGUCCUCCUAUGCCAGCCCCCGCCCGCCCGUGUCCCAGAAUGCACUGCUGAGGAGCAUGCCCACCCCCACCCCCGCAGUGUGCAGAUUAAAGCAAGUCAGAUCAUC
This 1956-nucleotide small RNA is filed under the name Pan troglodytes (chimpanzee). Its description in RNAcentral is "retained intron". Lineage: Eukaryota; Metazoa; Chordata; Mammalia; Primates; Hominidae. The record is from RNAcentral.